This 77-nucleotide transfer RNA is filed under the name Dehalococcoidia bacterium. RNAcentral describes it as "tRNA-Asp". It matches the Rfam family "tRNA". From Rfam's summary of the family: Transfer RNA (tRNA) molecules are approximately 80 nucleotides in length. Their secondary structure includes four short double-helical elements and three loops (D, anti-codon, and T loops). Lineage: Bacteria; Bacillati; Chloroflexota; Dehalococcoidia. The record is from RNAcentral.
GGCCCGGUAGCGUAGUGGUUUAACGCGCGGCCCUGUCAAGGCCGAGAUCACGGGUUCAAAUCCCGUCCGGGUCGCCA